RNAcentral lists this ribosomal RNA (305 nucleotides) under uncultured bacterium. Its description in RNAcentral is "bacterial SSU rRNA". It matches the Rfam family "Bacterial small subunit ribosomal RNA", at positions 334 to 656 of the family's 1533-position model. The record is from RNAcentral.
AUUACCUACGGGGGGCAGCAGUGGGGAAUAUUGCACAAUGGGGGAAACCCUGAUGCAGCGACGCCGCGUGGGUGACGAAGUAUUUCGGUAUGUAAAGCCCUAUCAGCAGGGAAGAAGAUGACAGUACCUGACUAAGAAGCCCCGGCUAACUACGUGCCAGCAGCCGCGGUAAUACGUAGGGGGCAAGCGUUAUCCGGAUUUACUGGGUGUAAAGGGAGCGUAGACGGCGAUGCAAGUCUGAAGUGAAAGGCGGGGGCCCAACCCCCGGACUGCUUUGGAAACUGUAUGGCUGGAGUGCAGGAGAG